GACGAACGCUGGCGGCGUGCUUAACACAUGCAAGUCGAGCGGUAAGGCCCUUCGGGGUACACGAGCGGCGAACGGGUGAGUAACACGUGGGUGACCUGCCUCUAGCUCUGGGAUAAGCCUGGGAAACUGGGUCUAAUACCGGAUAUGACUCCACGGCGCAUGUUGUGGGGUGGAAAGCCUUGUGUGGCUAGAGAUGGGCCCGCGGCCUAUCAGCUUGUUGGUGGGGUGAUGGCCUACCAAGGCGACGACGGGUAGCCGGCCUGAGAGGGCGACCGGCCACGCUGGGACUGAGACACGGCCCAGACUCCUACGGGA
Molecule: ribosomal RNA, 315 nt
Filed under: uncultured bacterium
Lineage: Bacteria
Description: bacterial SSU rRNA
Rfam family: Bacterial small subunit ribosomal RNA
Source: RNAcentral